RNAcentral lists this ribosomal RNA (1273 nucleotides) under Borrelia miyamotoi. Its description in RNAcentral is "bacterial SSU rRNA". It matches the Rfam family "Bacterial small subunit ribosomal RNA", at positions 104 to 1367 of the family's 1533-position model. The record is from RNAcentral. Lineage: Bacteria; Pseudomonadati; Spirochaetota; Spirochaetia; Spirochaetales; Borreliaceae.
GGGUGAGUAACGCGUGGAUAAUCUACCUACGAGAUGGGGAUAACUAUUAGAAAUAGUAGCUAAUACCGAAUAAAGUCAAUUAAGAUGUUAGUUGAUGAAAGGAAGCCUUUAAAGCUUCGCUUGUAGAUGAGUCUGCGUCUUAUUAGCUAGUUGGUGGGAUAAGAGCCUACCAAGGCUAUGAUAAGUAACCGGCCUGAGAGGGUGAUCGGUCACACUGGAACUGAGAUACGGUCCAGACUCCUACGGGAGGCAGCAGCUAAGAAUCUUCCGCAAUGGGCGAAAGCCUGACGGAGCGACACUGCGUGAACGAAGAAGGUCGAAAGAUUGUAAAGUUCUUUUAUAAGUGAGGAAUAAGCUUUGUAGGAAAUGACAAAGCGAUGACGUUAAUUUAUGAAUAAGCCCCGGCUAAUUACGUGCCAGCAGCCGCGGUAAUACGUAAGGGGCGAGCGUUGUUCGGGAUCAUUGGGCGUAAAGGGUGAGUAGGCGGAUAUGCAAGUCUAUGUGUAAAAUACCACAGCUCAACUGUGGAACUAUGCUGGAAACUGCAUGACUAGAGUCUGAUAGGGGAAGUUAGAAUUCCUGGUGUAAGGGUGGAAUCUGUUGAUAUCAGGAAGAAUACCAGAGGCGAAGGCGAACUUCUAGGUCAAGACUGACGCUGAGUCACGAAAGCGUAGGGAGCAAACAGGAUUAGAUACCCUGGUAGUCUACGCUGUAAACGAUGCACACUUGGUGUUAAUCGAAAGGUUAGUACCGAAGCUAACGUGUUAAGUGUGCCGCCUGGGGAGUAUGUUCGCAAGAAUGAAACUCAAAGGAAUUGACGGGGGCCCGCACAAGCGGUGGAGCAUGUGGUUUAAUUCGAUGAUACGCGAGGAACCUUACCAGGGCUUGACAUAUACAGGAUAUAGUUAGAGAUAACUAUUCCCCGUUUGGGGUCUGUAUACAGGUGCUGCAUGGUUGUCGUCAGCUCGUGCCGUGAGGUGUUGGGUUAAGUCCCGCAACGAGCGCAACCCUUGUUGUCUGUUACCAGCAUGUAAAGAUGGGGACUCAGACGAGACUGCCGGUGAUAAGCCGGAGGAAGGUGAGGAUGACGUCAAAUCAUCAUGGCCCUUAUGUCCUGGGCUACACACGUGCUACAAUGGCCUGUACAAAGCGAUGCGAAACAGUGAUGUGAAGCAAAACGCAGAAAGCAGGUCUCAGUCCAGAUUGAAGUCUGAAACUCGGCUUCAUGAAGUUGGAAUCGCUAGUAAUCGUAUAUCAGAAUGAUACGGUGAAU